AUUAUAACACAUCCUAUAAUUUUUUUAGACUAUGGAUAUUAUACAAAAUAAGGAGCUAGUUUAUCUCUAUCAGCUUGUGGAUGGCAUUGCCACAUGCAGCUUUGCUUCUCAAACGGCUUUGCAAGCAGGCUUACCAGAAAAUGUAAUUAAAAGAAGCUUAAAGGUUGCUAAAGCUUUAAAAGAAAAGCAGCAAAUUCCAGCUGAAGACAUAUAUAUACAAAAAAGGCUUGCAAAGAAUGUUUGGAUGUUUUGAAAUGUCUUAACUGUUGCCACAUUUCCUCAGUAUUUUCAAAAGACCCAUGAAAAUAUUACCAAGGGAUUACAGUUAGUAUAUCGAAUGAGGUGUUAGAGAAAUUAUAGUUGCCUGCUUGUAUUGAUGUGCUCUAAUUAGCUAUAUUGAUUAAAUCAGAUUGUGUACGUGAAUGUAAUGUCUUUCUAAGCCCAAUAAAACUGCUAGUGAUUUCUCGACUGAA
This is an unclassified non-coding RNA of Stegodyphus dumicola, 473 nucleotides long. NCBI's taxonomy places the organism in Eukaryota, Metazoa, Arthropoda, Arachnida, Araneae, Eresidae. The record is from RefSeq and is a predicted model, not a curated record.